UGCGUAGGCGGAUAUUUAAGUAGAAAGUGAAAGGUUGGAGCUCAACUCCAACAUUGCUUCCUAUACUGGGUGUCUUGAGUUUCGGAGAGGAAGAUGGAACGACACGUGUAGCGGUGAAAUGCGUUGAUAUGUGUCGGAACACCAAUAGCGAAGGCAAUCUUCUGGACGAAUACUGACGCUGAGGCACGAAAGCCAGUAGCGAACA
Molecule: ribosomal RNA, 205 nt
Filed under: uncultured bacterium
Lineage: Bacteria
Description: partial 16S ribosomal RNA
Rfam family: Bacterial small subunit ribosomal RNA
Source: RNAcentral